AUUGAACGCUGGCGGCGUGCUUAACACAUGCAAGUCGAGCGGUAAGGCCCUUUCGGGGGUACACGAGCGGCGAACGGGUGAGUAACACGUGGGUGACCUGCCCUCAGCUCUGGGAUAAGCCUGGGAAACCGGGUCUAAUACUGGAUAUGACUCCAUGACGCAUGUUGUGGGGUGGAAAGCCUUGUGCGGCUGAGGAUGGGCCCGCGGCCUAUCAGCUUGUUGGUGGGGGAUGGCCUACCAAGGCGACGACGGGUAGCCGGCCUGAGAGGGCGACCGGCCACACUGGGACUGAGACACGGCCCAGACUCCUACGGGAGGCAGCAGUGGGGAAUCUUGCGCAAUGGGCGAAAGCCUGACGCAGCGACGCCGCGUGAGGGAUGACGGCCUC
RNAcentral lists this ribosomal RNA (388 nucleotides) under uncultured bacterium. RNAcentral's name for it is "bacterial SSU rRNA". It matches the Rfam family "Bacterial small subunit ribosomal RNA", at positions 28 to 418 of the family's 1533-position model. The record is from RNAcentral.